GGAGGAGGAGCGGGUGGUGGCGGCGACGGCAGCAGCUCGGCGUGAUGGCGCGGUCCUUCUCGCCCAUCCCUGGGCCGGGCGGGAGCGAGACACAUCGGCUGAGACACUGCAUCACUUGAAGUCUGUUUCUGUAGUCAACAUGGUAAGAUAAGUGGGAUCUCACUCGCCUCUGCAGCUGGCUAGCUGCCUCCUCCUAGCACAACAAGCCUAGCUGCUUUCACUUAUUCCCCAAUUACCUUUUUUGUUCUUUUUUUUUUUUUUUUUUUUUGAAUCCUUCCCCUCCCCCAGCUUCUUUACUUGCCUUCUAGCCCCAGGCACUCCUUUAGGCUUAGUUUUCUGAGCUUUUUGUUAACUUCCCUUCUCUGCCAGUUUCACUCUGCUUGCUUCUGGCAGUGUAGUGUCUUCCUCGCUGAUGUCUCCAGCUGUCACUCCCUAACCUCUGGAGGUUCGAGGUUCCAGAAAUCCCUGCAUUCUGAGGGCACCGCCUGUGGGGCUGCCUCUGGGGGCUGAAAGUGCACGUGGAAAUAGGGCAGCAGCCCAUGUGCUUCAUUGUCCCCUAUACAGCUGGGGUAUGCCUGAAUCCCAGUUUAAACAGCUCUCCUUCCAUUUCUUCUGUUUCUUCGCUUUUUGAUCAAGCCUCCUCAUUUCAGUUAUCUCCUAAUUUAAAGCCGUCCACUUAAGAUGAGCACCCUCUGGUCUGGUGCAGCUUCCUACAUCACCACGCUCCAAAAGGAACAAAAUGGAUACAACAGCAGUAUGUGGUUGAGGUGUCCAACAGUACUUGAAGCGUGUGAACUGCUUUCAUAGUGCUUCCCAAAUCUCCAGCAAGGUACCUACCAGUUUCACUCCCAAGCUGGGUGCUUCUCCAUGGUUCUGAAAAGAGUUGAUAAUAUAUCUGAGAUUUUCAGAAAGCACAGAGGCACUGAAGACUGACUAGGCCAAGGCAGAAUAAUUUUGUUAUAAAAGAGAGAUAGAAAGUAUUCCUGUUGUAUCUUUCUCAACUCUGCCUUCUUUGUUCUAUAGCACAGCUUUGACCUAUUAGAUACUUUUAACAUUUUUAAAUGACAGCAAAUCAAUCAUAUAAUGGCAAGGAAUGGAAGGGACCUUCACGAUCACAUCACUCUAUAAACUUGAAAAAAAAAAGGUGUUCAUUUAUAUUCUGUAGCUCAACUCAGCAUUGUAGGGAAUGUUUAACAUCAGAGGGUCUUAAACCACGUAAAUGCAUUUAAAAUAUAAGUCCUAAUGGGUUCCAAAGCUUGCAAUACAAAGCUAGACAGAGGAAGGAACUGUACAGGUGCCAAGGGCAUCUCCAUGGAGCUUUUGAACAAACUGUUACAGAUGUUAGGAGCAAAGAUACUUUGAAAGAAAUGGCUAAGUGCUAGUUACAGGUAUAAACACAAAUUCUCAGGGGAGUCUGCUGCAUCAGCAAGACUGCCCUCAUGCUGAGCAAAACAAAGUAGAGAGUUUGGGAAGGAGCUGUGUGUUUCCCAGUCUUAAAUUCUGAGAAAAAUAAUAGACAAAGGCAUGGCAGGAGGAAGAACACUAUAAAUAAACUGCAGCAGAGGCAGGAAUCUAGCAGGAGGAUAAGCUUAGUUCACUGAGUGAUGGAUGUGAUAAAGACAGCUUAAGAAACUGCAAUUAGUAUAGGCCAGAAAGUAUGAUUUCUCUGCAUGGAAAAUCAAGAUCUGGAGCAACUUGGAGCAACAUUUUAGACUGGAGAUAAGAUUACAGUGAAGGAAAGGGUCUUAUUUCAAAAAGGGCUCUUGGCCUGAAGAAGGGAAGAAAACAGGCAGGUAAGUAAAAUCCUUUCUUUCCAUACAAGAAAAGAAUAUUCUUUGGCUGUUUCCCACCCUGGAGGUAGUCCCCCUCUACAGCCACUGUAAGCAAGGGAGAGACAUAAGCACUACAGUACAGACACAAGCCAGUCAGUGUUGCUGUCCACUCCCUGGCUGGCAGAUAUUGCAGUAGAAACAUUACCUGGAGAGGAAUCUAUGAAUAUUGAAAUAGGAAGGCUGGAAGAAGGAAAGUUAUAAGAGCAUUUUCUAUAGUCCAAAUCCACUGUCAAGGUUAAGCAAAUUAGGGUAAUUUUACCACUGAGAAAAUUAUGUGAACAGGGAGAGAUCUGCACAGGAAUUACAGAUGCCAUAUAAAUGACAAGAAAGAAAGGAAUCUUCAGAAGGGAGUGGGAACAAGAGCUGAAAUCGUAAAGCUAUGAAUCCUAGAAAAAUGCAGGAAUUGAUCAGAUUUAAAUAGAAAAUAGCAAAGAGCAGCUUAAUAUCCUGACUAAGCAGACAGUACAAAAAUAGAUAACUGGAACAAGAACAAAAAUGGUGUUCCAGCAACUGCUGGAAGUUUAAAGACUUCGUUGAGAAAAUGAGAAUUUCUCACUUUAAAUGAGCACAUUGAUAUAACUGAUCUUUUGAAAACACUGAGAAGGGUUUGUAUGCAGGCCUCUGCUGCGUGUGAUGACAAAAAGAGACUAGAAUGUUAAGGUUAGGAAAGAAACAGAGUAAAAUGGGGAACAUCAUUGUACAAUCUAUCACACAUCCUUAUUCUCAUCUGUGUGUAAUGUGGUAUAGAUUGUAUUCAGAAAAAAGAAUACAGAGAAGGCAAAGAAAAGAGAUGGCCUGGUGCAAUUGCCAUACAAGCAGGGGAUUCAUAUACCGGGAAUCUUGAACUUGCAAGAAGAAAUGUGGGUAUAAUUUGGCAGAGGUCUGUCAGUAUCGCGGAUGGAGAGGAGAUGGUGAAUGAGUGACUUAUUUUUUCCAAACAGUUUUGUAUUAUUUGAUCUCGAGUUACCUGGCAAGGAGAAAUACUACAAACUAACACAUCCUAUUACACAGGCAAAAGGUAUAAACAAGUUCAAAAAUUAAGAUGUGCUGAAGGACACCAAGGAGAUUAGAUUGUCCUUGCGCUUGAACAGGAUAGCAUAAUUGCAACAUACAUUACAUAUACAACACAUUAAUGAGUUUGGAAGCUUAUUUGCCAGUAGAUCCAAAUGCAGAACUAUUAGCGUUACAAAUCUCUAUGUAGAGAAGUCUAGACACCAGAUUCAGAAUAAGAUAACUCAGUAAAUAUAGAGGAAUUUGAACCAAUAUAAAAUCUGUGACGUGUUAGGAUAAGAUUUGGCAUAUUAAAUUAUUAAGUGGCUACAUUGACAUUUUAUUCAAUCCCCAUACUUACAGAGCUUUCAACAUUCGUCAGGGUCGGGGUUUCCAAAAGGAUUUAUAGCAAGAAAGUAUAACCAAGACUUGAAUGAGAAUAGAUCAAAAAUAGCAUUGAGGUUUAUUUUAAGAGAAUGCAAGGAGGAGUUAAAAACAUCAUUUACAAAGGCACCACAAAACACCUCUGGAAAAUUCAUUUUCAGCUAUAUUUAGUACAUUAAAAGAAAUGGUGGCUCUCACUUGAGCUAUAUCAGCUCAAAUACAGAUAAAAAAUAGUCAGAUUACAUAGACUUGUCUUGAAUAACUAAAUAUUUAAUGCAAUUGUGCACUUCUGAGUCAUGUUGCCCAAGGAGGCUGUGGAUGCCCCAUCCCUGGAGGCAUUCAAGGCCAGGCUGAAUGUGGCUCUGGGCAGCCUGGUCUGCUGGUUGGUGACCCUGCACAUAGCAGGGGGUUGGAACGGGAUGAGCAUUGUGGUCCUUUUCAACCCAGGCCAUUCUAUGAUUCUGUGUUUGGUUUUAGUAUGCAUCUUUUCAGGUGAGUUCCUGUCUCUAAGUAGUCUUACCUCUUAACUGCCAUUUCUGCAGGUGUAUAUCUGUACUUAACAUUUAAGUUCAUCAAAAGUAUGUUGAGACAAUGAAAUUCUAAUGCUGAGAGCUUUUAGUACACAAAUAGCUCUUCAGUACAAAGAGCCCUUCAGUACACUCUUCCCUGCAAAAUUUAGUCUAGAAUAAUUCCAGUGUCUUAACUUCAUUUAACUCUGAUACCUUCCUAAGCCUUGGUCUUGAAAAUGUAUCCUCAUCUCAUAGCAUGAGUGUUAGACACCGCAAGGACAGCAAUGUCUGUCUGACUGCAGUUCUACGGUGUGUUUUUUCCCUUAUACUGACUCAUACCUAGAUCGAUUCAUAUUAUGAUCUUAGGUUCCUUUUGUGAAAACUCACUGCAACCUCAUCCAAGCCCUCAAACACUGCGUACGUAAGUCAGAUCCUGGAAAAUAUGAAAAAAGAGACUUUACUCCAACUUCUAUCUAAAACAUCUAUUGCUGGAACGUGUUUAAUUUUAUUUGAUUUACAAUACUUCACUUUUUUCUUUCUUGCCAAAGCCAACAGUAGCUGUUGCUUAUGCUGUUUGCCGUCGUCUCCAUCUGCAUCUUUGGUUACUUGUUGCCUUCUUGCUGCUAGCAUUUGCAGAAGUCUGCUUGCAUCUCUGGGAGUCUUGCAACUCGGGGCAGUUUUUCCCCUUUGGUGGUUAAAAUUCACAGUAGCAUGAAAUGAUUCGUACUGUGAAUCACAUUUUCCUAUAGCUCAAGGCCUUGGCCUGGUCCCCUCUCAGAUGCCUUACACAGUGCUCUCUGCCAGUGGCACGGAACACCUCUGUCUCAUCUACAGAGGUCCCGGGCUCACGCUGCAUGUGCCAACAUUUCAGUAUUGUUAGUAACACCAGGUUCCAUUUUGGGGUGUUGAUCUCAAUGAACCUCAUAAUUUUACUAUGUAGAAACUGGACCCUUUCUUAUCUUACCUUUCCUUAAUUCUUUCUUUUGGAAUGAUUUCCAUAAAGCACCCAGGAAAAGUCAAUUUUGCCUCCAAUUUAGCACUGCAUUUGUUUCAAGUUUUUGUCUGACCCGUUUUCUGCGACUGUUUACUUAAGUGAUUACGUAUUUAGGUGCAUGCAGGUAUAUUUUUAAGGCUCUAAAUCUUGCUCAAGUCCAAUUUAUACAAAUGCCCCAUUUAACACAUUUUCCUCUGGAGCUUAAUGUCCCCGUUGUCUUAUUAGUAUUGUGACACGCCUGCUCAUAUGAGGCACAUCCACUGCACAUCUCAAUAAAAGUAAACAUCCUGUGUUUCUCAGCCUUCUCUAAACCCCAACAGAUGGCUGCUACUUUUACAAACUGUGCUGAAUAGAAUGGCUCACGUUUCCCUUACAAGAGUCUUAUUUCUGGAAUCCAAGCCCAGUGUAAUUCUUGCAGCUUGGAACACAGAUCUAACCACAGAUCAGUGGAGCCUGCAUCAGUCCCGCAUGCUGACUCUUCUCAGCUCAGAUCUGCUUGCUUUUUGGGAUGGAUGUACAGGGAACGUAUUUGGUAUUUCUGAUCCAUCCGAAGCUGCAGGAUGACUAGUAAUGGCUUCCACAUGUAUGUCCUUGAUCAGCAAACCUAGGGGUCCUUUGUGCUAUACGUCUGUCAGAACCUUUAAUGUUCAUUUUUUUUUCCCCAGACAGUGUUUUUUGGAGAUGUAGGAUAUUCUUAGAAUGACUGAAUUUCACCUUAAUGCUCAGAGCCAGCCUCUGCUCGGGAUACUGUCAGAAGGUGUGGGAGAUGUCAUACAUUUUCACUACCUUACCUAGCGCUCAGCAGACAUAUGCCACAGGCGUAUGGCUUAGGCUGAUUGUGCAGCAGCAGUGCUACACUGAUGUUGUCUGUUCUUACCCCCAUCCAGGAAUCAAGGGCACUUCAGUGCCUGGGUGAACUGGCAGCAAUGCCAGCUUGAGACUUUACCCUGCAUGCGUGAAGGGGAUGUGUUCAGGAGCAUUCCUGUCUCGUUUUUUUCCUCAGAAAAUCAUCUCUGGAGCUACUUCGGCUGCAGGUCAAGGCAAGCAGUUCCUAUGUAAGUUUUACAGCAAUCUCGGGGCAGUUUAGGAAUGGUCUUCAUCUUUGCCUGCUGAAACUUUUUCUCCACUGAAUGGCAGGCUUGCAAUCAGCUACUUGUUCCCACUUUGCAGUGACUGAAUUAAGUAUCUAAUGAAAAAAAGAAAAAGCUCCGGAGAGACCAUCUUGUGUUCUUCUGGACCUUCCAAAGUAGGUUUUUUUUGCAUGGAAGAUUUUCAGUGAGCUGCACAACUGUUAAGUAGUGCCCAGAGGCCCUACAAUUAUGCCAUUUGCUUAGGUAUGUUUAUGUCAGGCUUAACUCUGGAGAAUUAAGAAAGUCCUUAUACUUCUCCAAAUAUACUGUCUACCAAAAUAGUUGAGUGCAAGCUAAUGGACUAGCUACCCUUGUAUACUUUCAUCACCAAGACCUUGUCUGAUUCAUGGUAUUUGGGGGAUAUUUUUUUAUCAUACCAACACAGAAACACAGAACAAGAGACUGGCUACAACCCAAAACCCAUCAAGUCUUUUUUAUUUCCUAAAUCGGUUAUUUGCACUUCCAAUUCCCUUUACCAUUCAUGUGGUAUUUUUUUGUGUUGGUUUUUUUUUUUAACAGACUAACCAUUGUUAUGCCUGUUUUCAUUGUGUUUAAAGUGGGUCUUUUUGUACCAUGUCAUUUGCAUCGUAUCACUUCAUGCUUAGCCAACUUGUCCUUCAGCUCACUGUCUGAUCACUUCUGAGUGACCCCAGAGGCAAGAACUGUGAAACCAGAGAUUUGAAAGGUUUCUCACCAGAGUUCUGGUCAUGGCGAUGGCACUUCUGAUAUAACUCCCAGUAAUGGUCACAUCCUCUUGGAGCAGUUUUUCUGUUGAUCAAAAUGUGUGACUGGUUUAAGCUGAGACUCUCUUCAGCCAGUCUUGCAAUGUUUCCUUGAAGAGAGGUUCCCGGGGUGGUUAUAUCCAUUUUCCCAUUAAUGGGACUAAGCGCCAUUGACUGGUGUACACAGCCAAAGAGUUUCCUGAGAGGAUGUGUUGGCUUUUUGUUUUGCUUUGUUUUACAAAAAGUUCUGCUCAGAAAAAUCAAUAUUACAGAAAAAAAGCAACCUAUCAACAUUUUCCAGUACAUAUAGCAGAGAUACCAUUUGCUUUACCUAGACACACAUCCUGGCCACAGAAAGAUGGGUACUGAGAGCAGAUGAGCUACUUGCAUUCAUUGACCUCUGCCAGGAAUUUCAUAUAUUUUGUUAACUGCAAAUCUUUUAGAUUUUUAAUCUAAAAGAAAUAUUUUAGGACUGCUUGUACUGACCCUCGUGCAGGUACUUUUUCAUAAACUAAGAACUGCAAAGUUUUAUCUACUUUUUGCCCUCAAUUUUCACUUUUUUUUUUAAAGCACAGUCAUACUUCAACUCCUCCAUUGAGUUUUUCCAAUUCAGUGAAGGCAUCCCUGAACCAUCUUGUCUGCAACACUAAGGCACAUCCUUAUGUUUGUAGACUUCCCUGGCCACCUGGGCAGCUGAACGACAGUACAAUCAUAAGGACUAUAGAAAUUGACUCUAUGCCUUUUCAAAAAAUUAUGCACAAGUGUGCUUGUGUAAAUAUAUCAUGAAUGUUAUCAGUGGUCACAUGAGGCAUCAAAAUCUGUUAUUCCUUACACAGAAACUUGGAUACAAGUGUGACCCAAGCCAAUAGAUAAUAUAUGAUUUCUACAGAUAUUUGUUACAGUGAAAAGACCAUAGUGUACAGCUUUACAAAUUUUAAGUGGGAGAGAAACUUUGUAUGAAAAUGCUAAUCAUGACCAGAGCUUCAAACACGUGCUGUGAGAAGCCCGUAGUAAGCACACACAACCUCUCACCCUUUUACCCCAUAUUCAUACACAGAUCCUACAAUGUAUGUAUCACAUACAUCUAGCUCUUUUCUCUCUCCAGCUAAUUUCUAAGUACUGUGCAUGCUUUACACUAUGCUGAAAUCUGUUCCAGCCAGUCAGGCUACUCUGCUGCUACAAAGGAUAAAAGCAAGGUCAAGCUAAUCAAGCCCAAGAGGAUAGCAACCCAUGUGGCUAUUAAAGAAGGUUACAGUAGGCUCAGAGUUGUCAGGAGAGACAUACAAACAGCUCCUUAUGAGUGUAAAUAAGGCAGAUUCAAAUGUGUUUAAUUGUGCGUGCCUGUCUCAAAAUCUGGCUCAUCGUUCUUCUUUCCAUUUCUCACUCAGGGUCACCAGUGCCUGAAAACACUGAUAUGCCAAGGAAGCCAAUUCCCUGUGGGAGCGUGACUGUGCUCCUCACAUAGAAAUUUCCCCUUCUGUCACUUGGCAUAGUUCAGUAUGUGACUUGCUAAUUCAAAAUAUAAACAGAGAGGAACUAGGGCCAAUAGUUGAAGAGCUGCAAGCAGAAUUCUCAGUCCUUCCCAGUAAGUGAAUGAUACCUCCCCUCUGGAACCAUCACCCAUUUCUCUGGUUAUUUUAGCUUAACCAGUACCAUAUCCUUGGAACUUAGGAGGAAAUGGGGAAAAUGCCAUUCUCAAACACAUGUUUUAGGCUGAAAAAACAAACCACUCAAUGUCUGCAGUUCAUGAUACAUAAUUUAGCAGGCAAGUUUGUCUCCUCCUAUAGUUCUUUUGUUCCCAUGAAUUGCUUAUUUCCUUUCUUUCUUUGUAUCAUUUUCUCCCAUGACUUUGUUGUUCUUUAACACCUUUUAAUUAUAGUAUGAAAUACAUAAGCGUGUAUUUAAAUAUAUCUCAGUUCCUGCUGCUCUCAUCCCAGUUACAAAUGCAAUUUAAAACCCUUACACAUAUUUAUGCACCAUUCAUCAAGCUUCUAAGGAAGAAAAAACUUUCCCGUAUGCCCUCCUUUACACAUUUUUCUUCAUUUCCAUGAACGAGGCCUGCUGCAGCUUUGCAGGCUUUGCCUGAAAAUGGAUAACGAAAUGAAACAUCCAUGUUAAACAAAUGGAAAAUAUGGAAAAUACACUGAGAGUACAGACAGACAUCUUCUGAAAGCCAAACUCAGGACACUGCCUUUCCUUCGGUUCUUUAUCUAACCCAGUGAGUGCUCUCUCCCAGCAUGGCAGUGAACUUCAGCAGGAGGCAGUAAUGAUGUUUUAGAGUAGCUGCCGUAGUAAUGGUGUAUCUUCUUUCCCCUCCUGCAGCAGGCUGGAGCACCUGGUUCUGCUUUGGAAGGUGAAACCAAGAGGUUUCUUGCUCAGAGGCAACACUGUUGAACAUGUGGGGAUUCUUUACUAAUGGUUAUGGCAUCUUCUUUGCUUGGCAUAUCCUGAGGAAGUGCUUUGGUAAUUGCUCCACUCUACUACACAAGUUGCUCAUUUGGUACUUGCCAAAUUCUUCCAGUGUCCAUCUGCAGCUCGUAACACUUUCUUGACACUCUAUCCAUCAGGGCAACCAAGUGAGCAGGGAAGUAGCUGCAAAAGCUUCUUGCUUCUUUGGCUCCCUCCUUUGUUCAGAGGAGUUCGUCUGCACUUUUAUUACAAAAAAUACUCAAGAAUUAAGACAAAGACCCUCAUCCAGUGUGACUUUUCACUCCCAGAACUGCACCUGGAGCAUGGACCACAUCCACACAGUUCUGAACCAAUCCAGUGCUGCUCACGGCUCACAUUUCAUUUCAGAGCCAAACUUGGAAAGCUCAGGCUAGCAGUUGCAUUUUAAGGGAGCUGGGUACAUCUUUUAAGUGUUUGAAUUUGAAGUUCAAAGUAAGUAUUUCAAAUAAAGGGAAGCUGAUAAUUUAUGGCAAUACAGAGGGCAUGAUGCCUUUAAUAGAAUUAUUAAACUGAAUUAAUGAGUGACUGUUUUUCAAUAGGGAGAAAGAAAAGGGAGUAGAAUGCCAUGAAAGUCAGUGCCCCUAUCCAAAGAAUUAAAAAAUCAGUUCUCCUGAUUUUCUUCAGUGAAAUAAUUUUGAGGAGUGAUGCUGUAGUAAAUGAGCAGCUCUCAGCAGUUUGCCAUCCUGAGUCUAUCGGGGUAUGUUCACAUUUACUGUCAUACAUACAGAUAGGACUCUGAUGGACCAGAGAUGGUUGCAGUUCUUCCAUGCUCUUUGUGAGCUUAUCUUCCUGAAGCCUUCACACACUCACAGGAACCAUCAAACAAGUGCACCACUUGGUGGGUGCUAGAACUUUCCAUCUGCCUGCUUCAGAAUCUCGGCUCUGAAAGCAGAGCUUCCAUCUCAACACAAGGAGAAAAUAUUCUCGCUAUAGGUGUUGGAGCACUGACACAGCCUGCCCAGAGAGGUUCUGGAGUCUCCUCUUUGGAGAUCUAAAGCCACCCGGACGUGGGCCUGGCCUGCCUGCUCUGGGUCUCGCUGCUGGAGCAGGGGUUGGAACAGCCGGACCCACAUUUGUCCACAGCUUAGAAGCUCAAGAAUGCUCACUUUGGAAGAUAUUUUACAUAUUUUGGCAAACAAAGGAUGGAACAAAAUAAAAUAAAUGCCCCAAAGCCCUUCAAGAAUAUUAGUACAUAAAUAGUAAUCACGCUCAGUAACGCUAUUAUGAAAGCUAUUAUCUGUUAAUCACAGUUUAGUCACUCAAGGUUGAUUUCAGAGCAACUUCUUUCUGCCAAUAUCCCAAACCAGCUACACUUCAUCUUAGCUGAAGUCAUCUUCACAUGGCUUUCUAGAUUAGGUUUUGGUCAUUCAGGCUACAGGUUACAAUACAUGAACAGCCCACUUAACAGCCAUAGCAGAUCCUACCUGGAAACUGAGACUGAGGAAAUAAGAGCAGCAGUUCUUGGUUCUGAAAUAGCCUGCCAGUCAGAAGCAUUUUACCUUUUUGCUUCUGGAAUGGAGACAGACGUAGUAAUUGACAUUUCUGGUCAUCAGGAGCAGCCAAAUUCAGAAACACCAGGAACACAGAUGAGAACGACAGUGAUUUUCCCCACAUCCAUUUGGCUGGCAGCGAAGAGGAGCGAUCCCAUGACUGUACAGCACAGACCAAAACCAGCAUGAAGCAUUUCCGUUCUCAAUUCUACAAAAAGUCCUUUGUCACUUUGGGAAAGUUCCUUUAACAUCGUUUCAUAUCACACUAGUUCCCUCUGAAAGCUGCUGCUAGAGAAAGUUUUGCAGGCUGAAGUCAGAUUUGGACUAGUUUAAUGCACGAUGCUGAGUCUACAUGCAUACCAACCUGAGUAAUUGUGUUGCAAGACAACUGACACUAGGAUUUAUUCUAGGUAGUAUUUUAUUUGGGACGGGGUGCAACCCAAAUGGUAGAGGAAAAAGACCAGAAAACUGCCACGAUCAUUUAGUCUGGUAAGAGAUAAAACUCAUUGCUCAAAAACAAAAUGAAGUCCAGUCUUAUUCCAGUGCUAUGGUGUCCCGUAGGUAUAGGCAAGUAGCUGGAAUGGUUAAUUGUGCCCCUAUCCCCCAUUAUGAAGUACCUUAUUUCCCAUUUGACCUAUGUUUUGAAUGGCAUCCCAUUUCAGCUCGCAGGCAUUCAUCCUGUCAGACUCUGACUAUUGUAAUAAAACCUUUUAUUACCAAGUUUUGUCUCUGUAUAAAGUCAUUAGCUGAAGAACAAAGUCUGCAGCACUCACAGGCUGUGGAAGGAGGGAUAUUCCUCGUUACAUCCUUCUGCCUUCAUUCCGUGGUUUUCUCCAGCACACAAGCUGUAGGAGCACGGGGUCUGGCAGGGGAUGAGUUGUGGUGCCAGGGCUCAUACUUUCCAGGAUCAGAUUUGGACCACAGGUCCCAGAGCAGCACUUGCCCCUCAGUACAGUACAGAACAGGACCCCAUCCUCAGAGGGCCCUCACUCACAUACGUGCACUCCAGAGAGACCACGAGCUUCCUAGAAUUUGAAAUACGUAGGAUUCAGGCCAGCUCAGGAUUUACAACUCGCAUUGGUAAGUAGUGGUACUGGCACUUACUGUAUGUUUCCUUAUGGGGAAAGCAACAAAUGCAAGAGAACUUGAAUAGAAAUGAAACAGUGAUAAAAACAAACAUUGGGGAAAACAUCAGAAUACAAAUUUGUACUCCGAACAUUUAGUGCUAAAUCUGGAUGUGCGUCAGGCUACGUUAACCAGAGACAGGAAGAAGUUCAGAAAUGGUCAGUCCUAGAUGAAAAGCGUAUUAGAUAGCUUUCCUUCACAUAACUACUUGGUAAGUGUCCCCUUCACAAAGCACACUUGACAGCAGGUUCAUGGUGCAAGGGAAGCAGUUAACAGCACCAGCACCAACUCCUUUGCGGUGAUUGUCCCAGCUGUGCAGCUGCCCCGUGCAGCACUGGUAGAGCUGGUGGUGCCCCGCACCAUUGGAAUUGCACUGGCAGCUUUUCCUGCUGUGUAUUACAAAGCUUUCAGAGGCAGCAUUCCUUACACCUGGGGAUUUGUAGCUUUCUGAAAGGGCAACAGCUGCCCGUGCUCCACCUGAGUGCAGCUGAAGAGUUGAGGUCUGCAGCUGAGUGAAGACAGCUUUUCUCCCUUACGUUACUUAACAAUAAAAGGGAGACAGAGGCAAUGUGUCUCUUUAGCCAAGUUAUGAUUUUUCAGAAGAGUUUAGGGUGUGCUUCAUGUUUUGCAGUGGUUUUCCAUGACUUGGGGAAAGCCUACGUGUGUACUGAGAAACAUCUUCAACCUUCCCAUAAUAAAGGCCAUGAAUGACUGCAGCUACUUAAGACCUGCCCUGGUUUCUAAGAUUUUAAGGGUGCUGUCAGUGGCUUUAGUGCAUUAAAUACACCAACAGUAAUCUGCCAGUAACCAAACACCUGGCAGGAAAGCACCAUGGGUUUGUCAAACUUCAGUGAAAUGAAACACUUGGUAAGGAACAGAGAUGACAGAACAAAUUACAGCAGCACUCCAGUGCAGCCUUCACACAUCUCAUGCUGUUAUCCCAACCGUGCAUGGCAGUAAGAGCCACUGCUGUUUAUAAAACACUCAGGAACACAGCAAGCAAAUUGAGUAUUCAGCAGUGGUCAGAAGGCAGCAGCCUUUACAUGCCCCUUUGGCUCUCACUUCAGCCACCUCUUUCACAUCCAUUCCAUUCCUCAGGCUCUGUAGAACGGUUUGAGUUGGAAGGGACCUCUAAAGGUCACCUAGUCCAGCUGCCAUCCAACGAAGAUGAACAGGGCCUUGCUGUUUGUGUUCCAGCCUUUGGCUCUUCAACAACAGACCACAAACAAAAACCCAUCAGGAUUGCUUUAGCUUCACCCCCAGGGAAGAGCCUUCAUGUAACUUUGCCUUGGGGCUACUUGGUCACAGCCUGGAGCCCAUGUCUCUGGUUUCUUCCUCUUGCAUUCAACCCAACCCACUGCUUCCAAGUCGGAUUUAUUGCAGCCUGCUGACGAUGUGCAGCAGUCCCACGGACACUGCCCAGCCACACUGGGGUCAGACCAGGAAGAUACCACCUCAUAGCUCCCAAACGGAGUUAUUGAUCUGUGCCAGAAGACUCAAUGAUGACUUUAGCUGCAUUGCGACAUGGCUUCAGCUCGGGCAGCAGGAGAGAACGUGGGAUGAGCACAGCAGUGUUUCACUGGGACAGGGAAAGCUUGGGGUUUUCUCAGCCCGCCACCUGCCCAGCUGGCAUUCUCUCUUCACUCAUCUGUUGCUGUUCAGCUGUGUUUUACUCCCUCUGGUGCAUUGGCUGCACCUCCAGCCACAGUGCAAGGAGAGCAUACAGCAACACGGCUCAGAAGUCAGUCAGUGGUACUCACUGACACAGGGAAGAGUUUCUUGGGGAAAAUAAAGAUAAAUGCCAUUUUAUAUCACUCGCUAUGAGCUGGUAUUCUAUUCAUAAUGGUUCUCGAGAACAUUCUGCUCACGAAAUGCACAAUAAUGAAACCAUCCUGACAAAAAGAGAACGUGUAUCGUAUAUACCAAAUGCUGCAUUUUUCACACUCGUGAAUUGCACUUGGGUUGUAAGGGCCUGAAGUUUUAAUUUCGCUCCUUGAGAACAACUAUGUAACAUACCUUUAAAAGUGAGGGGGGUUAUUUUUAGCCAUACUGGAGAUAAUGGAAAAAACCUCAAAUCCUGUCUAAAAUCUGGGAAAAAAUAAGCUUUGAAUGUCAGAACGCCAUUUCCUUCCAGAAGAUUACCAAUGGUUUAUUAUUCCAAGCGUAUAUUUAGAAUACUCCACUUUCAUAGUUGCUUUAAUAUCAACCACGUUAAAACAUUUCUGAUAGCUGACUGAUGGGCUCCAUAAGCAAAUCCCAACCUCCCACACCUGUCCCAUCACACGGACUGCUCGGAGCAUCCUUCCCGUGUGCGCACACACACGUGGACCCUCGGCACGUUUCUUAGGCACACGGACACAGCGCUGUGCAUGAAGAACACGUGGCCCAAAACGUCAGCAAAAAAAGCACAGCCCUGCUUUGGGAGCAGUCGGCGAUGUCCCUGCAGCAGCCUGGUGAUUAAAAAUGUAGUUUUAAAACUGUGUUUCCUGUUCCUUUGGUGCUGAGCAGCUCUCGUGCCAUGAGUUGGAAACCAAACAUCAGUAACGGUUCUCUCUGUUUUUUCUGCUAUAGGUCACCGACGUGAAUAUACUUUAUUCCCCUACACUUUGGAUAGGCCAACUGAACAUUCUGGUUUGCACCCACAUUAGGUAACACUGUCGUCUUUCUUCUCUGAGGUUUUGUUGGAGGUCUGAGGAACACGAGAGGACAAGAAACACCUGUGUGGAGGCUCAGCUGUCCAAGCAGCAUGGAAAAGGUGUUAAGAACUCAGGGGGGGGGGGGGUUAUAUUUUGCAAACAAAAGGAGGCUCAUUUCCUCUAUUUGCUCAUCAGAGCUUUAGGUGCAAAAACACGCCUGGAGCUCGUGAAAUACCUUCACUUAUGUCUGUAUCUACCAAAAUUCUUUAUAGAGCCAUCUGAAAAGUAUUUGAUUUUUCCUUUAUGAAAUACUACAGAGCUUUUCUGAACUGUUUCAUCAAGCAAACCCUUAAUAAAAAACACACAGACCGACAGGAAUUGCGGGCUGUAAUCAAA
Molecule: RNA transcript, 14656 nt
Organism: Gallus gallus (chicken)
Lineage: Eukaryota; Metazoa; Chordata; Aves; Galliformes; Phasianidae
Exons: 2
Source: RefSeq, a predicted model, not a curated record